GACGAACGCUGGCGGCGUGCUUAACACAUGCAAGUCGAACGGAAAGGCCCUGCUUUUGUGGGGUGCUCGAGUGGCGAACGGGUGAGUAACACGGGAGUAACCUGCCCUUGACUUUGGGAUAACUUCAGGAAACUGGGGCUAAUACCGGAUAGGAGCUCCUGCUGCAUGGUGGGGGUUGGAAAGUUUCGGCGGUUGGGGAUGGACUCGCGGCUUAUCAGCUUGUUGGUGGGGUAGUGGCUUACCAAGGCUUUGACGGGUAGCCGGCCUGAGAGGGUGACCGGCCACAUUGGGACUGAGAUACGGCCCAGACUCCUACGGGAGGCAGCAGUGGGGAAUAUUGCACAAUGGGCGGAAGCCUGAUGCAGAAACGCCGCGUGCGGGAUGACGGCCUUCGGGCUGUAAACCGCUUUCGCCUGUGACGAAGCGUGAGUGACGGUAAUGGGUAAAGAAGCACCGGCUAACUACGUG
This 468-nucleotide ribosomal RNA is filed under the name uncultured bacterium. Its description in RNAcentral is "partial 16S ribosomal RNA". It matches the Rfam family "Bacterial small subunit ribosomal RNA", at positions 28 to 507 of the family's 1533-position model. The record is from RNAcentral.